ACAGACAAUCGCUGGUGGCCUUGUUGCCACGAGAGGAAAGUCCGGGCUCCAUAGGGCAGGAUGCUGGAUAACGUCCAGUCAGCGCGAGUUGAAGGAUAGUGCCACAGAAAUGGACCGCCGAUGGCUGGUUUAUCGCCAGCACAGGCAAGGAUGGAACCGAGGUGUAAGAGACCCCGAGGAACGCUGGUGACUUCGUUCCUGGUAAACCCCAUCUGGAGCAAGACCUAAAGAGACACAGUCACUUGUGACGGCCUUAGCCCGAGGCGUGUCUAGGUUGGUCGCUUGAGCUGUUCAGCAAUGAAUGGCCUAGAUAGAUGAUUGUCGCUUGAAGUGGGAGGGUAGUUCCCGUGAUACCACGAAGAGUACAGAACCCGGCUUACGG
Molecule: RNase P RNA, 382 nt
Filed under: uncultured Paenibacillus sp.
Lineage: Bacteria; Bacillati; Bacillota; Bacilli; Caryophanales; Paenibacillaceae
Description: Bacterial RNase P class A
Rfam family: Bacterial RNase P class A
About the family: Ribonuclease P (RNase P) is a ubiquitous endoribonuclease, found in archaea, bacteria and eukarya as well as chloroplasts and mitochondria.
Source: RNAcentral